This 548-nucleotide ribosomal RNA is filed under the name uncultured Glomus. RNAcentral describes it as "SSU rRNA". It matches the Rfam family "Eukaryotic small subunit ribosomal RNA", at positions 548 to 1098 of the family's 1831-position model. Lineage: Eukaryota; Fungi; Glomeromycota; Glomeromycetes; Glomerales; Glomeraceae. The record is from RNAcentral.
UUGGAGGGCAAGUCUGGUGCCAGCAGCCGCGGUAAUUCCAGCUCCAAUAGCGUAUAUUAAAGUUGUUGCAGUUAAAAAGCUCGUAGUUGAAUUUCGGGAUCAAUACGUCGGUCGUGCUUCGGUACGUACUGGCGUAAUUGAUUUCUCCCUUCUGACGAACCAUGAUGUCAUUAACUUGGUGUCAUGGGAAAUCAGGACUGUUACUUUGAAAAAAUUAGAGUGUUUAAAGCAGGCUCACGCUUGAAUACAUUAGCAUGGAAUAAUGAAAUAGGACGUUCGAUCCUAUUUUGUUGGUUUUUAGGAUCAACGUAAUGAUUAAUAGGGGUAGUUGGGGGCAUUAGUAUUCAAUUGUCAGAGGUGAAAUUCUUGGAUUUAUUGAAGACUAACUACUGCGAAAGCAUUUGCCAAGGAUGUUUUCAUUAAUCAAGAACGAAAGUUAGGGGAUCGAAGACGAUCAGAUACCGUCGUAGUCUUAACCAUAAACUAUGCCGACUAGGGAUCGGAUGAUGUUAAUUUUUUAAUGACUCAUUCGGCGCCUUACGGGAAAC